AUCUAUUGCUGCUAAUCUAUCGCUGUCAAUCUACCUACCGCUGCCAAUCUAUCUACUGCUGCCAAUCUAUCUAUCACUGCUAAUCUAUCGCUGCUAAUCUAUCGCUGCUAAUCUAUCGCUGCUAAUCUAUCGCUGCUAAUCUAUCGCCGCCAACCUAUCUACCGCUGCCAAUCUAUCUAUCACUGCUAAUCUAUCGCUGCUAAUCUAUCGCUGCUAAUCUAUCGCCGCCAACCUAUCUACCGCUGCCAACCUACCUACCGCUGCCAACCUACCUACCACUGCCAAUCUAUCUAUCACUGCUAAUCUAUCGCUGCUAAUCUAUCGCUGCUAAUCUAUCGCUGCUAAUCUAUCGCUGCUAAUCUAUCGCCGCCAACCUACCUACCGCUGCCAACCUACCUACCGCUGCCAACCUAUCUAUCGCUGCCAACCUAUAUAGGGUAAAUCAUGGUCCCAUUUGGUCCCAUUUUGUAAAAUGGGACCAAAUGGAACCAGAAUCACUAAUUUAUUAGUAAAACAUGAUCUGGGACUAGAUUUAUAAUAUAAACAGUGUAAAAUGACUAAUUUGCUAAACACUAUAUGGGAUCAGAACUAAGAUAUCUAAUAAUGAGACUGAGAAAAAAUUUGAUCCCAGUUUCAUGCAUGGUCAUACAGUCAGUCUAUACUCAAGAACAGA
RNAcentral lists this small RNA (673 nucleotides) under Histoplasma capsulatum. RNAcentral describes it as "hypothetical RNA". The record is from RNAcentral. RNAcentral also lists the same sequence under 1 other name. Lineage: Eukaryota; Fungi; Ascomycota; Eurotiomycetes; Onygenales; Ajellomycetaceae.